Molecule: long non-coding RNA, 1511 nt
Filed under: Anser cygnoides (Swan goose)
Lineage: Eukaryota; Metazoa; Chordata; Aves; Anseriformes; Anatidae
Description: lncRNA (ENSACDG00005006960.1)
Source: RNAcentral
GAAAGGAGAGUUUAAUCUGUUUUCCUCGGAGUUUAAUCUAUAUUCCAUAGCUUCUGGAAAAGUAAGUGGAUGAUUCCUCCCAAUUGCAGGACAGUAUGAAGGCCAUAAAAAACACUAUUAGCUUUUAAGUCAAGAUGUGAGCUGGAGUAUUGACAGCUCCAUAGAUUAGGGGUUUAUGUCUGUGCCUUAUUCAACAAUUAUAGCACCCAUGGUUGUGGUGUUAAACUUAUUCACCAAGGCUCAUGAUUAUAUCUUGAGGAUAAACAACUAAGGAAACACUUCUGACUUCUCCCUGAGAAUGGCUUCUCCUGUAAGAGUCAAGAUGCAUGAAGCAGGGAUGAUAUUUUCCUGUCGUAUUAUCUCACUGAGAAGUGCAGCUCAAUGCAAACCAUUGACUAUUUCUGCAGUGGUAUUAUUUACAGCAUAGUAAACUGAGAUGGCUAUAAAUACAGAGCUGUAAUAGUGACUGCCUCAUCUGGUGCACUCUUUCAUGUAUUAAAAAAAAAAAUAUAUAUUAAAAAAGCCUUGUGCACACAAGCUAGCAAAACAUUUGUUUCCAGACCUUACUAAUUUUGUAAUUCACACUGAAGCCAACACCCUUCCCUGACAGUGAUUGGGUUUCUAAUUAAGGAUUUAAGUCUGAACACAUGCUCUUAACUCCUAGUUUAAGACUACACCGUGUGCUGUAGCUAGGUUAUAUAUUUCCCCCAGACAGGGUUAGCAGUAAGAGUUGGUUGCAGUUGUUUCCCUGUGUUAGAAAGCAAAACUGAGAGCUCCAGAAGAAUCAUGUUUUCAGCAUGGUUUCCAAACAUCAGCCUAUUACUUCCCGCAUGGUUGGCUGGGUUAAACUGUGCUGCUUCAGGAAGAAGAAAAUGGCUGUGACAGAACUGAAGGUGCAUCAGAGAGGAGACAAGCCAGACAGCCCUGGCCUGAGCUCUCCUAGCUGGCUGGGAACAAGUGGAAUUGGAACCAUGGACUAAGAGCAUCCAGGAAUGAAUCGGGUCAAUCUUCCCAAAGCAUUGGCAGUGGUGUCUUGUACUCAGAAACUGCCUAGCUUCAUUAUUUAUUCAGUCGAGCUUUGCUGUUUCUGUUAGAUUGUAUGACAGAUAUGACAGCAGCAUGAAAGGUACUGACCUGAGGACAUUCUUUUCUUGUUUUUAGAGAUCGUAGACAACCAGUCACGUAAAGGAAAAUAUACCCUGAUUUUAGGGAUCUCUCUAUAAAUCAAAGAGAAUUUAAAAUAUUGAAUGCUCAUUACAACAUUCAAAAUUAUUGAUCCAUAAACUGUAAAUAUAUAUGCUACUAUUUAUUUGCUUAUUACCUUUCAAAUAUGUUCAAAACACUUUCAUUUUUUUGUGAAGAUUCACGAGUUCAAUUAUGCAUGAAUUUAAGCAGGUGGAUAUUCAUGCUUAAGGUGCCAGCUGAAAAUUUUAUUUUUCUUCACCUUUAUCAAUUAACUCUUUUCUGUUGUCCUAUGGUUACUAUUUAAUAAACUUAUAGAUCUACUGUCA